ACUCGGAAGCAUUUGUAAUAGUUCCUCUACAUUUCCUUUAUAUUAUUAAUAUCCAAAAUAACAGAAACAUAACAGGAUUAUUUAGUUAAAAUUAUAUCGUUACAUUGCACCUAGUAACACAACUGGUCUUAACUCCUAGAGUUUUUUUAUUAGAAAUUCAUUAAAUUUUGAAAAUCAAAUAUCAUUGCAAAUAUAAUUAUGCAUUUAGCGAAUGGUUCAUUCAUUUUUAAGUUGUUCAUAAAAAUGAUAUCAGUAAUGAGAUGAAGAUGGUUGCAAAGAAAAGGUUGCAUAAGUUCACUUAAUACCAUUACAUAAUAGAAUGGACAUUAAAUAAAGUUUCUUGGGGGUACCUUUACAAUAACUAGGUCUGGCAAUGUGUGUCAUGUCAUGUCUAAAUGGAUUGUGCCACUUUUUGACAUGAUAUGAUCAUACUCAACCCGAACACGACUUGAUUAUUAAUCGUGUCAUGAACUCUCAACACUAACAUAACCUGUUUUAUUAAACAAGUCACACAACCCAUUUAAUAAACAAGUUUAUUAAAUAAGUCACACGCCACGAUCCUUGUGACACAUUUAACAAAUAAGUUUAAACAGAUUGUGUUAAUUUAUUAAUGCAUUUAUUAUAAUAUUAACCCAUUUAACAUAAAAAAGCACUAGUUUGCAAACGAGCUACACAUUCUUUUAUAUGCAUGUACUUCUCCCUCCUCUUUGUUAAGCUAGCGAUAUGGCACUUUUGUUCGACUCCCACAUCUUAUUUUUUUACAUUAUUAUGAUAAUGUUAUUUAAAGAUUAUAGCUUUUAGUUUCAAACUUUAUUUAUAUAUCAUUGAAAAGAUUUUAUACAAGACUAUAAUGUAAAAUUAAAUUUUCAUAAUCUUUGUCAUUAUAGUUAUAAAUUUUAACAAAUUAAAGUUGAUUAAUA
This 920-nucleotide unclassified non-coding RNA is filed under the name Hevea brasiliensis (rubber tree). Lineage: Eukaryota; Viridiplantae; Streptophyta; Magnoliopsida; Malpighiales; Euphorbiaceae. The record is from RNAcentral.